Molecule: long non-coding RNA, 506 nt
Organism: Eurytemora carolleeae
Lineage: Eukaryota; Metazoa; Arthropoda; Copepoda; Calanoida; Temoridae
Exons: 5
Source: RefSeq, a predicted model, not a curated record
GAGAAAAAAUAACUUUCAAGUAAUGUCCAAUUAUUUUGUUCAUAUUUGAACAGCCUGUUAGGAAUGAAUGAAUGUACUUCCCUGUUUAAUACAUGCAUAUCUUCUUUUAUUUAGAGAGGAUAGAGAAAAAACCCUGCAAGAGAAGAUGGAGAUGGAAGAGGAGAUGCUUCAGAUAUGUCAAAAUCUACUCCAGGGAAAUGAAGAGUGGCAGAAAACCUGGAUGGACUUCAUAGAACAUACUGGAUAUUUCUUUGAUGACAGUGCUCCAGGAUCUCCCCUGUUAUAUUUUGCUGUCAUAAUCAAUCAUGAAAUUAAAUCAACCAAUGGGAUCGUAGAGCUUUGUUUAUUUAAAUAGGACCUUUGUUGAGAGAUACCAUUGAAGAAAUUAAAUCGACAACCCAAUCGCUGAACACACUUGGCUCGAUUUGAUAGAAAUAUUGGGGCUAAGAGGCUUUGACGGAGUGAGCUUGUAGCUAAGCGUUCUACCCGCAUUGAAUACUAGAGAU